RNAcentral lists this ribosomal RNA (500 nucleotides) under uncultured bacterium. Its description in RNAcentral is "partial 16S ribosomal RNA". It matches the Rfam family "Bacterial small subunit ribosomal RNA", at positions 30 to 523 of the family's 1533-position model. The record is from RNAcentral.
AUUGAACGCUGGCGGCAGGCCUAACACAUGCAAGUCGAGCGGUUGAGGGGAGCUUGCUCCCUGAUUCAGCGGCGGACGGGUGAGUAAUGCCUAGGAAUCUGCCUAUUAGUGGGGGACAACGUUUCGAAAGGAACGCUAAUACCGCAUACGUCCUACGGGAGAAAGCGGGGGACCUUCGGGCCUUGCGCUAAUAGAUGAGCCUAGGUCGGAUUAGCUUGUUGGUGAGGUAAUGGCUCACCAAGGCGACGAUCCGUAACUGGUCUGAGAGGAUGAUCAGUCACACUGGAACGGAGACACGGUCCAGACUCCUACGGGAGGCAGCAGUGGGGAAUAUUGGACAAUGGGCGAAAGCCUGAUCCAGCCAUGCCGCGUGUGUGAAGAAGGUCUUCGGAUUGUAAAGCACUUUAAGUUGGGAGGAAGGGUUGUAGAUUAAUACUCUGCAAUUUUGACGUUACCGACAGAAUAAGCACCGGCUAACUCUGUGCCAGCCGCCGCGGUAA